This 1150-nucleotide ribosomal RNA is filed under the name Lactiplantibacillus plantarum. RNAcentral describes it as "bacterial SSU rRNA". It matches the Rfam family "Bacterial small subunit ribosomal RNA", at positions 72 to 1199 of the family's 1533-position model. Lineage: Bacteria; Bacillati; Bacillota; Bacilli; Lactobacillales; Lactobacillaceae. The record is from RNAcentral.
UCAUGAUUUACAUUUGAGUGAGUGGCGAACUGGUGAGUAACACGUGGGAAACCUGCCCAGAAGCGGGGGAUAACACCUGGAAACAGAUGCUAAUACCGCAUAACAACUUGGACCGCAGGGUCCGAGCUUGAAAGAUGGCUUCGGCUAUCACUUUUGGAUGGUCCCGCGGCGUAUUAGCUAGAUGGUGGGGUAACGGCUCACCAUGGCAAUGAUACGUAGCCGACCUGAGAGGGUAAUCGGCCACAUUGGGACUGAGACACGGCCCAAACUCCUACGGGAGGCAGCAGUAGGGAAUCUUCCACAAUGGACGAAAGUCUGAUGGAGCAACGCCGCGUGAGUGAAGAAGGGUUUCGGCUCGUAAAACUCUGUUGUUAAAGAAGAACAUAUCUGAGAGUAACUGUUCAGGUAUUGACGGUAUUUAACCAGAAAGCCACGGCUAACUACGUGCCAGCAGCCGCGGUAAUACGUAGGUGGCAAGCGUUGUCCGGAUUUAUUGGGCGUAAAGCGAGCGCAGGCGGUUUUUUAAGUCUGAUGUGAAAGCCUUCGGCUCAACCGAAGAAGUGCAUCGGAAACUGGGAAACUUGAGUGCAGAAGAGGACAGUGGAACUCCAUGUGUAGCGGUGAAAUGCGUAGAUAUAUGGAAGAACACCAGUGGCGAAGGCGGCUGUCUGGUCUGUAACUGACGCUGAGGCUCGAAAGUAUGGGUAGCAAACAGGAUUAGAUACCCUGGUAGUCCAUACCGUAAACGAUGAAUGCUAAGUGUUUGGAAGGGUUUCCGCCCUUCAGUGCUGCAGCUAACGCAUUAAGCAUUCCGCCUGGGGGAGUACGGCCGCAAGGCUGAAACUCAAAGGAAUUGACGGGGGCCCGCACAAGCGGUGGAGCAUGGUGGUUUAAUUCGAAGCUACGCGAAGAACCUUACCAGGUCUUGACAUACUAUGCAAAUCUAAGAAGAUUAGACGUUCCCUUCGGGGACAUGGAUACAAGGUGGGGGCAUGGGUUGUCCUCACCUCCUGUCCUGAAAAGUUUGGGUUAAAUCCCCCCACCAAGGGCACCCCUUAUUAUCAUUUGCCACCAUUAAUUUGGGACCCUCGUUGGAACUGCCGGGGAAAACCCAAGAAAAGGGGGGGGGUGGAGGAAAAAACAAAAUGGC